Molecule: ribosomal RNA, 400 nt
Filed under: uncultured bacterium
Lineage: Bacteria
Description: bacterial SSU rRNA
Rfam family: Bacterial small subunit ribosomal RNA
Source: RNAcentral
UGGGGAAUAUUGGACAAUGGGGGAAACCCUGAUCCAGCAAUGCCGCGUGUGCGAUGAAGGCCUGAGGGUUGUAAAGCACUUUCGUUGGGGAGGAAAUGCUCAAAGCUAAUACCUUUGAGAGCUGACGUUACCUAAAGAAGAAGCACCGGCAAACUCUGUGCCAGCAGCCGCGGUAAUACAGAGGGUGCAAGCGUUAAUCGGAGUUACUGGGCGUAAAGGGCGCGUAGGCUGAUGUUUAAGUUAAUUGUGAAAUCCCUGGGCUUAACCUAGGAAUUGCAGUUAAUACUGGACAUCUAGAGUAUGGUAGAGGAAAGUGGAAUUCUCGGUGUAGUGGUUAAAUACGUAGAUAUCGAGAAGAACACCGGUGGCGAAGGCGACUUUCUGGACCAAUACUGACGCU